CCUACGGGUGGCAGCAGUGAGGAAUAUUGGUCAAUGGACGCAAGUCUGAACCAGCCAUGCCGCGUGAAGGAAGACGGCUCUAUGAGUUGUAAACUGCUUUUGUACGAGGGUAAACGCAGACACGUGUAUCUUUCUGAAUGUACCCUACGAAUAAGGAUCGGCUAACUCCGUGCCAGCAGCCGCGGUAAUACGGAGGGUUCGAGCGUUAUCCGGAUUUAUUGGGUUUAAAGGGUGCGUAGGCGGGCGGUUAAGUUAGGGGUGAAAUCCCGCGGCUCAACUUCGGAAUUGCCUUUGAUACUGUUAGGCUAGAGGGUAGUAGCGGUAGGCGGAAUGUGUGGUGUAGCGGUGAAAUGCUUAGAGAUCAUGCAGAACACCGAUUGCGAAGGCAGCUUACCAAGCUGCAACUGACGUUGAGGCACGAAAGCGUGGGGAGCAAACAGGAUUAGAUACCCCAGUAGUC
Molecule: ribosomal RNA, 460 nt
Filed under: uncultured bacterium
Lineage: Bacteria
Description: partial 16S ribosomal RNA
Rfam family: Bacterial small subunit ribosomal RNA
Source: RNAcentral